GCGGUUCUUUCGCUUUUUCGUGCUACCCCUGUAGCGGGCCGGCCCAGUUGCAUCGCUUUUCGGGCGCCAGUAGAAGGAACCGGCGCUGAGAGCGCCAGUUAGGAGCUCCCCCGAACAGGAGCUCCCGCCGCCUCUUCGUCUUCGAUUCCCCAAUCCCACUUCCCCGUCUCCGUUUCCUCCACCCCUCCCCCUAAAAAUCCUCCUAAAUUGCCAGUCUGCGCACCUGCCGGCGGAACCCUAGCUCCGGAGCUACUUGCCAGAUCAGGGCGGCUGAAUCGGCGGCUCCUUCCCUAGCGCCGCACUUUCGGAGGCUUGCGCCGCUCGGCGCGUCCCCAGCCCGCAUCUUUCCUCCGUCUGCACCUUCAGGAUUCGCGCCGCUCCGGCCUGAGGGCUUUGGAGGCUUGCUGUUGCUGCCCUCCUCUUCACCGCCGUGCGUGCAGAUCUUCACACUUUUCAGGAGUCCGAUAUGCUUGGUCAAGUUUAGUGCAGCUGCCCCCUAUUAAUUCCAUUUUCAGGAGUCCGAUAUCCAGGCAUCAAGCACUCUAUGCACCAUCCAAUCUCGCCGCUCUACCAACUUUGCCUGAACACCGACUGCCAAUGCUCCAUAUACCAUCAUACAAUCUUGCCAUUCUACCUCCUUCGCCGGAACACCGACCGCCGCUCCAUCUGAGUUACAAAUUGAAUUCAACAUGUCAGUUGAGGAAGCUGCUGACCUAGCAUGGCAGGCUAUUUAUCAUGCAACAUUCCUUAACGGAGCUAGUGAUGGUGUUGUUAACCACUCAUUUUCUUCAGCAUGAACAUCUUGGCCGGCCUAUUUACCAAAAUCUAGGGGGCCUUUUGAUGGAUUUCCUGUAAUUUUUUUGGGAAUGUGUUUGAUCCACGUCAUAAGCGUAUUUCCAUCCAAGGAAGUGGAAUUUGUUUGAACCGAGAAAGAGGGCACAGCAUUGAUCCAAUUCAUAUCAAUGAUCCUCUUUGCCCUGCUAACAAUGUGGGACGGAAUUGUUUCCGGGUCCACCAAUGCAUCAGGGUUGGCUCAAAUUAUCUUUUCUGGACUGGUUGAAUCCUUCUGUUGUUGUCUAGAGCUUUUGGAGUUGUGGCAAUGCUGUGAUUAUGCUCUUUUAUAUGGCUUUCGUUGUUCUAGAGAACGAGCUACUGCAGUUCACUGCAGAAUAUAACAUGCCCGCAUCAUCAUUCAGCCUGCUGAAGAAAAUAAUUCCAAGCAUUGAUUCCAAUGAGUUGUACCAGUAAAAAGAACCUAUGAUUCCAUGAGCUGCAGGAACUGUUGGGUUGGAAUGGCCUCCUCUGUGUUCUAGACACAGAGUUACUACUGCAGCUGGUGGAAAAGGUUUACAGAGGGAGUACAUGUUAGUAGUACUACGUUAUCUAUAUGAUGGAUGCCAUGGAUUCUUAGUAAUGCCCAUGAACAUGAUGGUUGCAUGUUCGUGUGGGACCGCAAGUACCCCAUGAACGCGCCGCUGAAAGAGAUGGUCACCAACAUCUAGCCGUAGGUAGCCAAGAUCAAGGAUGGCAUGAAAGUCAUGGUUGCUGUGGCCCAAGUCAAGCUGAAGAGAGUAGAAACACGUACAGUUCUGUUGGUAGUUGUGUCCCAAGAAGCCAUGGAGUGGAUUCUGUACUUCAGGUUCGCUGGCUCAGAACUUGGAAGCGAACAAGUGCCAUGGCGAACUGCUUUGAGCUUGAUGAAGUGCAUAUGAAGGCAAAGGUUGCUGGAUGUUACAUACUCCCUCCGUUCCAAAAUAGAUGACCCAAUUUUGUACUAAUGCUUUACUUUCAAAUUCUCUGAAUUCUUUCACGUAACAUUUCUUGCUUAUAGGUUCUAUCUUGUUUUAAGUUGCCUGGUGGUGUAUGAGCAAGGCUGGAGAUAUAUAGGCUUAUAGUCCAACAGUCAGAGGUUGAUUUGCUAUUCCUCGGUCUAUGUAAAUGUAUAAAUCGAUGAUGAUGUACAAACAAAUGAUAUUUUGUUUUUUA
Long non-coding RNA from Triticum aestivum (bread wheat), 1986 nucleotides. RefSeq lists it as uncharacterized. Lineage: Eukaryota; Viridiplantae; Streptophyta; Magnoliopsida; Poales; Poaceae. The record is from RefSeq and is a predicted model, not a curated record. The transcript has 12 exons.